UGAACGCUGGCGGUAUGCUUAACACAUGCAAGUUUGACGGUUUAUUGCUUGCAAUUUAACCGUGGCGGACGGGUGAGUAAUAUGUAAGAAUCUACCUUCGGGUGAGGGAUAACGAAUGGAAACGUUUGCUAAUACCUCAUAAUGCUAUUAAGUUAAAGAUUUUUCGCCCGAAGAUGAGCUUGCAUCUGAUUAGCUUGUUGGUGAGGUAAUUGCUUACCAAGGCAAUGAUCAGUAGUUGAUUUAAGAGAAUGAUCAACCACACUGGGACUGAGAUACGGAACAGACUUCUACGGAAGGCAGCAGUGGGGGAAUAUUGCACAAUGGGCGUAAGCCUGAUGCAGCAAUACCGCGUGGAGGAUGAAGGUUUUAGAAUUGUAAACUCCUUUUCUCUUAGAAGAAUAGUUGACGGUAUUUGAGGAAUAAGCAUCGGCCAAUUCUGCGCCAGCAG
This 448-nucleotide ribosomal RNA is filed under the name uncultured cyanobacterium. RNAcentral's name for it is "bacterial SSU rRNA". It matches the Rfam family "Bacterial small subunit ribosomal RNA", at positions 30 to 514 of the family's 1533-position model. Lineage: Bacteria; Bacillati; Cyanobacteriota. The record is from RNAcentral.